UCAUCUUCAUGUAAUAUAUAAACACGCUGUUUGAGAAGCUCAAUUGCAGGUAAGAAUUUUUUCUUUCUUCCACGACGUUCCUCCUUGGUUGGGAAGGGCGAAGAUCAUCUCCAAGCUCAUCCUUUUAUGGGAACCUCUCCGGAUUGAUAUUGAGAUGUUAUUCAUCGACAAACAAAACUACUGAAGUCGAACCAACUCCAGAAGAUAUAUAAAUGGACUAAGGAGAGGAAGAAACUGCAGAAAGUAACUUCAGACAAAUUAGAGGAUUUCCAAUAUUCUAGCUAACGGCCUUGAAGAACAAUGAUAUUACUUCUUUGGAGGGAACUGCAGCAGAAAAUCAUUCCAAAUCGAAGUUGAUCUCACAAAAAGAUUCUUCAGGUUGCAGAGUUUUAGGGGCCAUCAACUUUGACAUACACCAUAACAAGCCAGAAAUUGUAUGAUGAGUAAGUAUUUUCUGAAUCGAUUCAGAAUAACUUACACAUAAGACGGAUGCUUAUACGUUCGAAACAUCAACCACUGUAAGCUUAUGUGGCUUUGACGGCAGCGCCCGCCCCCUCAAGUGGUUCUAAGUACGGAGA
Molecule: long non-coding RNA, 578 nt
Organism: Brassica oleracea var. oleracea
Lineage: Eukaryota; Viridiplantae; Streptophyta; Magnoliopsida; Brassicales; Brassicaceae
Exons: 5
Source: RefSeq, a predicted model, not a curated record